GUACGGGAGGCAGCAGUGGGGAAUAUUGGACAAUGGGCGCAAGCCUGAUCCAGCCAUGCCGCGUGCAGGAUGAAGCAUCUAUGGUGUGUAAACUGCUUUUGUACGAGAAGAAACACUGCUUCGUGAAGCAGCUUGACGGUAUCGUAAGAAUAAGGAUCGACUAACUCCGUGCCAGCAGCCGCGGUAAUACGGAGGAUCCAAGCGUUAUCCGGAAUCAUUGGGUUUAAAGGGUCCGUAGGCGGUCUUAUAAGUCAGUGGUGAAAUCACCCCGCUCAACGGGGAAACGGCCAUUGAUACUGUAGGACUUGAAUUACUAGGAAGUAACUAGAAUAUGUAGUGUAGCGGUGAAAUGCUUAGAGAUUACAUGGAAUACCAAUUGCGAAGGCAGGUUACUACUAAUGGAUUGACGCUGAUGGACGAAAGCGUGGGUAGCGAACAGGAUUAGAAACCCGUGUAGUCC
This 460-nucleotide ribosomal RNA is filed under the name uncultured bacterium. RNAcentral's name for it is "bacterial SSU rRNA". It matches the Rfam family "Bacterial small subunit ribosomal RNA", at positions 339 to 796 of the family's 1533-position model. The record is from RNAcentral.